This 85-nucleotide transfer RNA is filed under the name Plutella xylostella (diamondback moth). RNAcentral's name for it is "tRNA-Thr". The record is from RNAcentral. Lineage: Eukaryota; Metazoa; Arthropoda; Insecta; Lepidoptera; Plutellidae.
GACCGAAUGGCGUAGUGGUUAGUGACCCCGGGACCAUCAGCUCAGUAGGAGCUGAUGGUCCCGGGUUCGAUUCCCGGCUGGGGCA